Small nucleolar RNA from Otolemur garnettii (small-eared galago), 120 nucleotides. The record is from Ensembl. Lineage: Eukaryota; Metazoa; Chordata; Mammalia; Primates; Galagidae.
UGGUCAUUACCAAGGCUUUUAGAAUGCAGUUUCUCAAUUGCUGUGGACAUGACCAUAAAAAAACUUCCACUAGGUUUUCUAUCUGUUACUUUGCUAGCACUCAACCUACUGGGAACAUUU